This 201-nucleotide non-coding RNA is filed under the name Chlorocebus sabaeus (green monkey). The record is from Rfam by way of RNAcentral. Lineage: Eukaryota; Metazoa; Chordata; Mammalia; Primates; Cercopithecidae.
GCCGGGCGCGGUGGCUCAAGCCUGUAAUCCCAGCACUUUGGGAGGCCGAGACGGGCGGAUCACAAGGUCAGGAGAUAGAGACCAUCCUGGCUAACACGGUGAAACCCUGUCUCUACUAAAAAAANUUUUAGUAGAGACGGGGUUUCACCGUGUUAGCCAGGAUGGUCUCGAUCUCCUGACCUCGUGAUCCGCCCGUCUCGG